Molecule: non-coding RNA, 308 nt
Organism: Otolemur garnettii (small-eared galago)
Lineage: Eukaryota; Metazoa; Chordata; Mammalia; Primates; Galagidae
Source: Rfam
GCCAUACUCAGUGGCAUGUGCUUGUAGUCCCACCUACUUGGGAGGCUGAGAUACUGGUAGGAAGACCACUUGAGUCCAGGAGUUCUGGGCUACAGUGUGCUAUGUUGAUUGGGUGUCCACACUAAGUUUGGCAGCAUCAAUAUGGUGACCUCCUGGAGUGGGGGUCCACCAGGUUGUCUAAGGAGGGGUGAACUGGUCCAGGUCAGAAAUGGAGCAGGUCAAAACUCCCAUGCUGAUCAGAAGUGGGAUUGUGUCUGUGAAUAGCCACUGCACUCCAGCCUGGACAACAUAGUGAGACCCUGUUUCUU